This 497-nucleotide ribosomal RNA is filed under the name uncultured bacterium. RNAcentral describes it as "partial 16S ribosomal RNA". It matches the Rfam family "Bacterial small subunit ribosomal RNA", at positions 28 to 507 of the family's 1533-position model. The record is from RNAcentral.
GACGAACGCUGGCGGCGUGCCUAAUACAUGCAAGUUGAGCGCUGAAGGUUGGUACUUGUACCAACUGGAUGAGCAGCGAACGGGUGAGUAACGCGUGGGGAAUCUGCCUUUGAGCGGGGGACAACAUUUGGAAACGAAUGCUAAUACCGCAUAAAAACUUUAAACACAAGUUUUAAGUUUGAAAGAUGCAAUUGCAUCACUCAAAGAUGAUCCCGCGUUGUAUUAGCUAGUUGGUGAGGUAAAGGCUCACCAAGGCGAUGAUACAUAGCCGACCUGAGAGGGUGAUCGGCCACAUUGGGACUGAGACACGGCCCAAACUCCUACGGGAGGCAGCAGUAGGGAAUCUUCGGCAAUAGACGAAAGUCUGACCGAGCAACGCCGCGUGAGUGAAGAAGGUUUUCGGAUCGUAAAACUCUGUUGGUAAAGAAGAACGUUGGUGAGAGUGGAAAGCUCAUCAAGUGACGGUAACUACCCAGAAAGGGACGGCUAACUACGUG